UACGGGAGGCAGCAGUCGAGAAUAGUCUACAAUGGACGAAAGUCUGAUAGUGCGACGCCGCGUGGAUGAAGAAGCAUUUCGGUGUGUAAAAUCCUUUUCUGUAUGAUCAGAGUUUGUAAGGAGAAUAUUUUUACAAGUGGGAUGUUAGUACAGGAAUAAGCCCCGGCUAACUCCGUGCCAGCAGCCGCGGUAACACGGGGGUGGCAAGCGUUGUCCGGAAUUACUAGGCGUAAAGGGCAAGUAGGUGGAAUUGUAAGUCAGAAGUUAAAGGCACCGGCUCAACCGGUGUACGGCAUUUGAUACUGUCAUUCUAGAGUAAGGUGGGGGAAGACGGAAUUCCCGGUGUAGCGGUGGAAUGCGCAGAUAUCAGGAGGAACACCAGAGGCGAAGGCGGUCUUCUAUACCAUUACUGACGCUAAAUUGGGAAGGUGUGGGUAUCAACCAGCGAUUAGAUACCCUGGUAGUCCACACAGUAAACGAUAUACACUAGGUGUUGGGGGAGAUAAUCCUUCAGUGCCGCAGCUAACGCGUUAAGUUAUCGCCUGGG
This 547-nucleotide ribosomal RNA is filed under the name uncultured spirochete. RNAcentral describes it as "bacterial SSU rRNA". It matches the Rfam family "Bacterial small subunit ribosomal RNA", at positions 340 to 877 of the family's 1533-position model. Lineage: Bacteria; Pseudomonadati; Spirochaetota; Spirochaetia; Spirochaetales. The record is from RNAcentral.